RNAcentral lists this ribosomal RNA (253 nucleotides) under uncultured bacterium. Its description in RNAcentral is "partial 16S ribosomal RNA". It matches the Rfam family "Bacterial small subunit ribosomal RNA", at positions 524 to 776 of the family's 1533-position model. The record is from RNAcentral.
UACGAAGGGGGCUAGCGUUGUUCGGAAUUACUGGGCGUAAAGCGCGCGUAGGCGGGUUUCUAAGUCAGGUGUGAAAUCCCGGGGCUCAACCUCGGAACUGCAUUUGAAACUGGAUACCUAGAGUCCGGGAGAGGUUCGUGGAAUACCGAGUGUAGAGGUGAAAUUCGUAGAUAUUCGGUGGAACACCAGUGGCGAAGGCGACGAACUGGACCGGUACUGACGCUGAGGUGCGAAAGUGUGGGGAGCAAACAGG